RNAcentral lists this transfer RNA (75 nucleotides) under bacterium. RNAcentral's name for it is "tRNA-Glu". It matches the Rfam family "tRNA". From Rfam's summary of the family: Transfer RNA (tRNA) molecules are approximately 80 nucleotides in length. Their secondary structure includes four short double-helical elements and three loops (D, anti-codon, and T loops). Further hydrogen bonds mediate the characteristic L-shaped molecular structure. tRNAs have two regions of fundamental functional importance: the anti-codon, which is responsible for specific mRNA codon recognition, and the 3' end, to which the tRNAs corresponding amino acid is attached (by aminoacyl-tRNA synthetases). tRNAs cope with the degeneracy of the genetic code in two manners: having more than one tRNA (with a specific anti-codon) for a particular amino acid; and 'wobble' base-pairing, i.e. permitting non-standard base-pairing at the 3rd anti-codon position. The record is from RNAcentral.
GGCCCCGUCGUCUAAUGGUUAGGACAGGUCCCUUUCAAGGACCAAACACGGGUCCGAUUCCCGUCGGGGUCACCA